This 258-nucleotide ribosomal RNA is filed under the name uncultured bacterium. Its description in RNAcentral is "partial 16S ribosomal RNA". It matches the Rfam family "Bacterial small subunit ribosomal RNA", at positions 96 to 354 of the family's 1533-position model. The record is from RNAcentral.
UGGCGGACGGGUGAGUAACGCGUGGGUAACCUGCCUUACACAGGGGGAUAACACCUGGAAAUAGGUGCUAAUACCGCAUAAGCGCACAGUGUCGCAUGAUACAGUGUGAAAAACUCCGGUGGUACAGGAUGGACCCGCGUCUGAUUAGCUGGUUGGCGGGGUAACGGCCCACCAAGGCGACGAUCAGUAGCCGGCCUGAGAGGGUGAACGGCCACAUUGGGACUGAGACACGGCCCAAACUCCUACGGAAGGCAGCAG